AUAGUGAUGUUUCACCCAGAACUGUCCCAAAAAACCACAUGUCUAUGGAGCAGUAGCAAACAAAAUCCAUAUUUGGGCCUUAGCAGCAGGUUCAUCGUCUCUUGCAGCAACCCUAGAUGGGCAUCAUUCCAGUGUCACAGCUCUGCAAAUAACUGAUGAUAGAACACGCUUGAUCAGCUCUGGCUUAGAUCGUGUUAUUAUACUCUGGGAUCUACAAACAUUCACAAGCAAAAGAAUUGUGCCUAUAUUAGAGUCCCUCUCCAGGUGUAAUAUUACAACCAAAAGGUGUGCUUUUUCCUGGUGCUCAAGAAGAUGACCAUAUAUAUGCCCUGACUGUAGGAGAUAAAGGUUUUCCUUCAGUAUGGCAAGUUGACACUGGACGUCAAGUUUGGAAAAGUUCUCAACCACUUUUUGAACUGCUAUAGAGCGAGAAGGGGCAACUUUAAU
Macrobrachium nipponense is the source of this 447-nucleotide long non-coding RNA. RefSeq lists it as uncharacterized. NCBI's taxonomy places the organism in Eukaryota, Metazoa, Arthropoda, Malacostraca, Decapoda, Palaemonidae. The transcript is spliced from 3 exons. The record is from RefSeq and is a predicted model, not a curated record.